AACAACUGGCGAACAAGGAGUUCGCCAGGAUCAGGGACGAUCGACCAUCGCCGGGAAGGCAGCCGACAGGGAGUUGGAAUGGUCUUGGUACAAACCCGCUUCGGCGGGUUUUUU
Non-coding RNA from Pseudomonas syringae pv. pisi str. 1704B, 114 nucleotides. The record is from Rfam. Lineage: Bacteria; Pseudomonadati; Pseudomonadota; Gammaproteobacteria; Pseudomonadales; Pseudomonadaceae.